Molecule: long non-coding RNA, 1805 nt
Filed under: Marmota monax (woodchuck)
Lineage: Eukaryota; Metazoa; Chordata; Mammalia; Rodentia; Sciuridae
Source: RNAcentral
UGAUGUGGAACCCUAAUCCUUUCUGUACAGAUAUUUAGUGUCAUCAAUUCAUUCCAUAAUGCUUCAGUGGCACUCCAGAAUUUUGAUACGGUUGUACAUUGAUGUUUGGAUGGAGAAGAGUGAACAUUACUCAAAUAGUUUUGUGUGUAUGUGGGAUGGGAGGUAGAUAUUGAAAAAACUGUUUUUUCUUUCACUUUCCUUCUAUCUUCUGACUGAAGAAACAGGCUUUUCUUUGUCAUUACUUCUUGGUGUUUGGGGUUGGAGACGUGGACAGUUACCUAGUUUUUGUUUUUAUUCUUUGCAGUACUGGGGAUUGAACCCAGGGCCUCACAAAUGUUAGGCAAAUGCUACAUCCCCAUCCUGGAUCACCUGUUUUGAAUUUUGCUUUGAAAAACUAAGUUUGUUUGAACAUUUUUAUCUGUUUUAGUGUUAUUAACACUGGUUCAGGGAGCUUUUACUCCGGGACUAGUUUAUUCAGAAUAUUAAUAAGGAGACUUUACUAAAUGAUCUAGUCCAAGGCUCUUUCUACUCUUACCAUUCAAAAUUGAAUUUCUCCCAAUGUGUAGGUGCUCUGGAAUCUUUGACCUUAUUCUCCAGUGGUUUUCUUCCCUCUGGUAGUUAUUCUUUGUUGCCCAGUGUCAUGGAAUUUUGUCCUACAACAUGUCAGCAUUCAGCUAAAGUAUUCAGGGGAUUGCUGUGCAGAUUUGUAGUUCUUUCACUCUAUGAUUUCUUCCUCUUUGGUUUUCUAUCCUAAAAAUUCUUGUGACCUCAAUCUCCUUUAAAACACUGAUUAUUGUUUCCUUUGUUUAUCAAAACUGCUAUCUUUUGCUUGGAUUCUUCCUGUCUGCUGUUUUCAGGAGAACUCCUCCUGUUUUAUCUCUGAGAUUGUCCUCAGGUGGUGCUGCUUGUAUUCCAGUCCGCAACAAAAACGAUUUCGACUAUUAGUUCAGUUUCUUCAUUAUUUGUGGCUGGAACUCUGUUUCCAUUUAUUAUUCUUGCUUGGUCUUCAUCAGUUUUAUUUCUGUACAAAAUCACUCUUGCUUGUUCACUUUGUCUCAUUUGUUUUCCAAUUGAUUUCUGCUAUUUUAUUUCCCCAAAAUUGAUAAUCAUUUGGCUUUUGUUUGCUUCUUUCUAAUUUCUUAAAGUGAACAAAUUAUUGAUUUUUAUUCUUUAAUAAUGGAAUUAUAGCUAUUUAAUGCUAAAUUUCCCUUUCAGCACUACUUAAGUGUCAGUUUAUGUUUUAUUUAAUGUUUUUAUUAUCAUUCAGUCAAAUAUACUUAAUGUUUCUUUUUUAUUUUUGUUUCCUUUUUAAUCUAUAUACACAUGAAGCUUUAUUAUGGGAAGAAACCUAAUAACUGACAGAUGUCAACUUUUAGUUUCAAGUUAAGUUAUAUGUAAUUUGAGGAAUCAUCAUUUUAGCCUGAGAACAUCAAGAAAUAUGUUGCUCUUUGUCAUCUUCUUUGAACUCUAUGCAUCCAUUAUGUUUUAAGCACACAAUUAUGAUGACAUUUUAAAUUCUUGGAGCCAGUAGUAACUAUGCUGACAGAUUCUUUAAAGAUCAUUACCUGAUUUCAGGAACCCCAAUUGGCUAGAUGAGGCUUGGGUAUUUUCAGAUUAUUUUCAGAUUUAAAGCAAGUCCUAAGGGAAAAUAAACACAUUGCCUAUGGAGUUAUGGCAUGCUGUCAGAUCCUGGAUUCAUUCAUCCCCUAAAUCCUUUAGCAAAUUUGUUUGUUUUUUGUUUUCAAUAUAAAAAAUAAAUCUUCAUAUGUUUAAUUUUUAAAAAUUUGAAUUACUAGAGAUAUUUU